This 253-nucleotide ribosomal RNA is filed under the name uncultured bacterium. RNAcentral's name for it is "partial 16S ribosomal RNA". It matches the Rfam family "Bacterial small subunit ribosomal RNA", at positions 524 to 776 of the family's 1533-position model. The record is from RNAcentral.
UACGAAGGGGGCUAGCGUUGCUCGGAAUCACUGGGCGUAAAGCGCACGUAGGCGGAUCUUUAAGUCAGGGGUGAAAUCCCGGAGCUCAACUCCGGAACUGCCUUUGAUACUGAGGAUCUCGAGUUCGGGAGAGGUGAGUGGAACUGCGAGUGUAGAGGUGAAAUUCGUAGAUAUUCGCAAGAACACCAGUGGCGAAGGCGGCUCACUGGCCCGGUACUGACGCUGAGGUGCGAAAGCGUGGGGAGCAAACAGG